This 686-nucleotide long non-coding RNA is filed under the name Numida meleagris (helmeted guineafowl). RNAcentral's name for it is "lncRNA (ENSNMEG00000021237.1)". The record is from RNAcentral. Lineage: Eukaryota; Metazoa; Chordata; Aves; Galliformes; Numididae.
AAAAUAUAGCUUGCUGUUCAUACAAACUUUGGGAAGUUUUCAGCACAGAGAACGUUUAAGUUUUGAGUAAGUUACUUAACGUGAGCAUGUUUUCAUUCCUGUUGUGAGGGACUAAAGGAUAUUUCUCUGCCUUGUAAAUCCACUGGAGGAGUAAUCUGAAAUACUUCCAAUGGUUACUGAAGAGGAGGAAGGUGAUGAUGAGGACCAAUUAAUGACAAGAAAGUCAUUACAAAUCCUAUUUGUGAAGAUGAGAUUCUCUGAGAUGCAACAACUUCUCAACUUAUGCCAGCAGGAUCUGCACAGCCCUGACAGAAGCAUGCUAAUAUCUUUGGGAUAGUUACUUUAUCUUCAUUUAAAAUGCAAUUAAACAGAACAAAUACUGUGAGGAAAUGGACAAGAUUUUACAUUUGCAUACAAAAAUUAGGGGGAAGAUCUUUUCAUCACAUUAUGAAUUUUAUAUAAACAUUUUGGAAAGAAAAUAAUAUGUGGCGAUAAUGUAGACUGAUAUAAUGAGAUAACUGGAAUGAUAGUACUGUUGUCUGCAGGGUCAAAAAAAUGUUCCAGGAAAGAAUUAAUAAUUUAUGGAAAUGUUUAUCCCUAUAAUUAAAUACUGGAAUUUGGAGCCACUUCCUGCUAAGUUGUUUUAGUCUGCAAAAAUUAAUUCUUAACUCCAGAAAGAGAAAUUU